Molecule: long non-coding RNA, 979 nt
Filed under: Homo sapiens (human)
Lineage: Eukaryota; Metazoa; Chordata; Mammalia; Primates; Hominidae
Description: non-protein coding lnc-POLR2L-1:3
Source: RNAcentral
GCUCGGCAGGUCUGAACCCGCGUGGGUGUAGGCGCUGGGGGUCGACCUGGCACUGCGGAGGCCGGGCGAGCUGCAGCCCUGGGGGCGCCAAUAGCCCAGCAAGGGCCCAUCCCGUCCAAGGACGGAGGAGCUGGGCGGGAGGCGGGCCCGGAGGUAAGACGGCGACCAGCCUAGCCAGAGGCCCUGGGCUGUGGCGACCCGGCCCUCCUCCAUGCCCAACCCCCAUCUCUUUCUCCUCACCCAGGAACCGCCCAGAGGCUGCAGGGGUCGGCAGAACCGAUGCCGGCCUGGGGCGUGGGAGGGCCUAGCGCUGUGGGCAAAUGCGGGAGAAGGGCUACUGUACGUGCAGUGUGGACAGCCUGGAGACCCGGGCAGGCCUGGGGUCCCAGCGAGACAUACCCAUGGGGUCCUGGGGGGCCCAUGCCCUCCAGACUGGAAGGGACCACUGGGAGCGGUGCGAGGAGGUGAGGGACGAAGGGCAGGGCCGGCCUAGGGCUGCACCAAGACGCCAAGAGUGGGAGUGAGGAAGGAGGGGGCUGCCCACCCACCAAGCUCAUUCAUCACAGCCACAGGGGAGGACCAGCAUGGGAGGGGGUGGCCGACUGAGGCCGGGAACCUGCCCGGCCUCCCUGGCGAGACAGUGGGGAGCCCUGAUCCACACACUGGCGAGGGCCCCGAGGGGCUCCAGCCUUGAUGGGUAGUGUGAGUUUGGGGCAUGACCAGGGACACAAGAGGACACGCAGGACCUCAGCCCCAUCGCCACAGGCCCGCGCUCCCUGUAUUCACCCACACAGCACGCGUGCACAGGUGCCCACCUCAUCCAUGUGGCACACACAGGCUGUGGCUCCCAGACACACGGAAGGCCCAGGAGGACGCAGUGCAGUCAGUGGGUUUUAUUUGACGAGGGGGUUUUCUGCUGAACUGAGAUGGGGUUGAUUGAACGGGGACAGAGCGAAGACUGGCAGAGGGCACACACGGG